CAAAAAGUAGUUUAAUUUAGAAUUCUAGCUUUGGGAGUUAGAGGCGGGAGUUAAAAUCUCCUCUUUUUGA
RNAcentral lists this transfer RNA (70 nucleotides) under Epinephelus tauvina (greasy grouper). Its description in RNAcentral is "tRNA-Pro". It matches the Rfam family "tRNA". From Rfam's summary of the family: Transfer RNA (tRNA) molecules are approximately 80 nucleotides in length. Their secondary structure includes four short double-helical elements and three loops (D, anti-codon, and T loops). Further hydrogen bonds mediate the characteristic L-shaped molecular structure. tRNAs have two regions of fundamental functional importance: the anti-codon, which is responsible for specific mRNA codon recognition, and the 3' end, to which the tRNAs corresponding amino acid is attached (by aminoacyl-tRNA synthetases). tRNAs cope with the degeneracy of the genetic code in two manners: having more than one tRNA (with a specific anti-codon) for a particular amino acid; and 'wobble' base-pairing, i.e. permitting non-standard base-pairing at the 3rd anti-codon position. Lineage: Eukaryota; Metazoa; Chordata; Actinopteri; Perciformes; Serranidae. The record is from RNAcentral.